AGUCAAUAGAUACCCUGGUAGUCCCAGCAGUAAACGGUGCGCGUUUGGUGUGAGCAGAUUCGACUCUGUUCGCGCCGGAGCUAACGCGUUAAACGCGCCGCCUGGGAAGUACGAUCGCAAGAUUAAAACUCAAAGAAAUUGACGGGGGCCCGCACAAGCGGUGGAGUAUGUGGCUUAAUUCGAUGCAACGCGAAGAACCUUACCUGGGUUUGACAUGCAUCUCUAAGGAGGUGAAAGCUUCCGAGGGUAGCAAUACCCGAUUUGCACAGGUGCUGCAUGGCUGUCGUCAGCUCGUGUCGUGAGAUGUUGGGUUAAGUCCCGCAACGAGCGCAACCCUUGUAUGCUGUUGCUAUGCUUACGCAUAGCUCUCUGCGUAGACUGCCCCGUGAAACGGGGUAGGAAGUGGGGAUGACGUCAAGUCAGCAUGGCCCUUACACCCAGGGCUGCACACGUACUACAAUGCUCAGUACAAUUAGAACCUGCCCCGCGAGGG
This 493-nucleotide ribosomal RNA is filed under the name uncultured bacterium. RNAcentral describes it as "bacterial SSU rRNA". It matches the Rfam family "Bacterial small subunit ribosomal RNA", at positions 774 to 1263 of the family's 1533-position model. The record is from RNAcentral.